CAACAAAUGGUCAGCGGCAGAUGCAAGACGGAGGGGUCGGGGGUGGUCUGGAAAGUAUGUGCGGAAAGUGCUCGUAGGAGGGUGGUCGCAUCGAGCGAGGAAACCUGUGGCUUAACUGUGUGCGUGCGGGCGAUACGGGCAUCACUGGAGUUCGGCAAGAGAGACCUGAAGUCCGAGUGUAGCGGUGAAAUGCGCAGAUAUCAGGAGGAACACCGGUGGCGAAGGCGGGUCUCUGGGCCGAUACUGACGCUGAGGAGCGAAAGCGUGGGGAGCGAACAGGAUUAGAUACCCCGGUAGUC
RNAcentral lists this ribosomal RNA (299 nucleotides) under uncultured Halobacterium sp. RNAcentral's name for it is "partial 16S ribosomal RNA". The stretch from base 50 to 299 matches the Rfam family "Bacterial small subunit ribosomal RNA", at positions 547 to 795 of the family's 1533-position model. Lineage: Archaea; Methanobacteriati; Methanobacteriota; Halobacteria; Halobacteriales; Halobacteriaceae. The record is from RNAcentral.